Long non-coding RNA from Neopelma chrysocephalum (saffron-crested tyrant-manakin), 482 nucleotides. RefSeq lists it as uncharacterized. The record is from RefSeq and is a predicted model, not a curated record. NCBI's taxonomy places the organism in Eukaryota, Metazoa, Chordata, Aves, Passeriformes, Pipridae. The transcript has 2 exons.
CUGAAACGGGGCUGGGGAGGUCCCAAAAUGGGGCUGAGGGGCUCCAAAUGGGGAUGGGGGGACACCCAGAGCUACCAUAGCCAAUACAGGGACCACAAGACCACCCAGAGUCACCACAGACCACUCUGGGACCAGGAGACCACCCAGAGCCACCACCAGUCUGGUACCUUUGGAUUCUGAGCUGGGGGGCCCCAAAAGUGAGACUGGAAGACUCCCAGGGCCACCGCAGCCCACACCAGGACCGUGAGACCACCCAGAGCCACCACAGCCUGGCACCUUCAGCUUCUCAGCCGUGGGAUCCCAAAACCAGGGCUGGGAGACCCCCAGAGCCACCGCGGCCUGGCACAGGAUCACCGGGGGACACAGAGGAGCUGCAGGGAGCCUGGCCUGGGCUGUGGGACAUCGUGGGGACCGGGGGAUGUUGAGGGGACAUCCCCGGGACAGGGGACAUGGUGUCACUGCAGUAAACACGUCCCACCCUC